This 30-nucleotide non-coding RNA is filed under the name Mus musculus (house mouse). The record is from RNAcentral. Lineage: Eukaryota; Metazoa; Chordata; Mammalia; Rodentia; Muridae.
UGGUGCUAUUUCUUUACUCCCUUCAAGCUG